RNAcentral lists this ribosomal RNA (482 nucleotides) under uncultured bacterium. Its description in RNAcentral is "partial 16S ribosomal RNA". It matches the Rfam family "Bacterial small subunit ribosomal RNA", at positions 30 to 507 of the family's 1533-position model. The record is from RNAcentral.
AUUGAACGCUGGCGGCAUGCUUUACACAUGCAAGUCGAACGGUAACAGGCCGCAAGGUGCUGACGAGUGGCGAACGGGUGAGUAAUGCAUCGGAACGUGCCCAGUCGUGGGGGAUAACUACUCGAAAGAGUAGCUAAUACCGCAUACGAUCUAUGGAUGAAAGCGGGGGACCGUAAGGCCUCGCGCGAUUGGAGCGGCCGAUGUCAGAUUAGGUAGUUGGUGGGGUAAAGGCUCACCAAGCCAACGAUCUGUAGCUGGUCUGAGAGGACGACCAGCCACACUGGGACUGAGACACGGCCCAGACUCCUACGGGAGGCAGCAGUGGGGAAUUUUGGACAAUGGGCGCAAGCCUGAUCCAGCAAUGCCACGUGCAGGAAGAGGGCCUUCGGGUUGUAAACUGCUUUUGUACGGAACGAAACGGCUCUGGUUAAUACCCGGGGCUAAUGACGGUACCGUAAGAAUAAGCACCGGCUAACUACGUG